Molecule: long non-coding RNA, 1733 nt
Organism: Cyprinus carpio (common carp)
Lineage: Eukaryota; Metazoa; Chordata; Actinopteri; Cypriniformes; Cyprinidae
Exons: 3
Source: RefSeq, a predicted model, not a curated record
CUCAGAUUUCAUCAAAAUAUCUUAAUUUGUGUUCAGAAGAUGAACAAAGGUUUUAUGGGUUUGGAAACAACAUGAGGAUGAGGAUUUUGGGUGAACUAUCCCUUUAAGCAUAAUGUUAUGACAAAGAAAUGUAGCCUAACUCUAGGCAUAUUUAAUAUAACACUAUAAAACUGCAUUGUUAUUGAAGAUUAUAAACGCACACACACAUGUAGCUUGAACAUAAAAACAAAGAAAGACACUUCUGGCUGGAAAAAGUGGGCGGAGACUAUAUCUGGGCAAAUGUUAUAGUGAAAGUAAAACUAAACACAGCUGCGGGUUGUUCAUUUUAAAUUCAGCAUUAAAUUUGCAGAUCCAAAAUGAGUUACUACAUUUUUAUUAAAGAGCUGGACGGAACAAACAAGAGCAGUAAGUGUGGAUUCAGAGGAGGAACUGAAGAACAUGACUGUUGAAGAGUUCAUAAGAAGAUUCAAUCCGGAAGACAAAUGGAAACUCAGAUUUAUCUUCGAGGGCAGACAGCUGGAGGAUGGUCGUACACUUGGUUCUUAUGGCAUAAAUGACUGUUCUACUAUUCAUGCAGUUCAGUGUCUACGUGGGUGGAGACCCAAGCUGUGCACCUGAAGAUGGAGAUGAAGGAAUGCCCAGGACUGAAUCAAUGGAAGUAUUAGCUGAAAUGCAGAAGAUUGAGUCAGAAUAGAUCAUUUCAGUGAAGCCUCAUAUAAAUCCACAUACUGUACAUAUAUUCAUACUGUGGGUUUAUCAGUGUCUGUCAAUAUCGUUCAAAUUUACUACCAUAAAAUACACUACAGGCUAAAAACAGAAGAUAACAUACUUUGAUAAAGUAAAAUAUUUCAUGACACAAGUGAAAUUAUAAUGGCCACUUUAUGUAAAUAUGAAAAAUAGAAAAUAGUAGAUCACAAUGAACGACUGGCCAAAAAAUAAAUGAAUAACUUCCUUCAGUGCAGCGUCCAUAAAGUACAAGAGGCUGAAAUCAGAACAUAAUACAUGAUAUUGAAAUUAUGGUAGUAAAUUUGAACAAAAUAUGAAAAAAAACAGUGUUUAAAUAACUUAAAGUCUCCGUUCUGUCCUUUUACGCUGUCACAAAAAACAAGCACUUGUUUUCUCUCUAUAGCAGUGCUUUUAUAUUAGAGACACUUCAGUAGUAUAUAUCUACUACUUAUUGCAGGGAAAUGCUGCUAUUUUUACAUCUAUCGUUAUUUGCACUUAGGAUAAUAAAUGCUGCUAUUUUCACUCUGUGUAAAAAGCAUCUAUUGCUUUUUGCAUUAUAUUGUAUUAUUUUUAUGUUAAUUUUUGUAGCUGUAACUGAAGCUACUGUUCAACAAUGUUUUUAGGGCAACUUCUCAAAAUCACACAGUGUUGUGUUUUACAGUUUAUGUGAUACUAUACAACCUGUAGAAUGUUGGUUCAAAACCAUUGGUUUGUUUACAUUUUUUUUUUUUUUUAUUUUGUGCUUCAUUAUUGUUUAAUAGUUUAUAUUCACCACAUGCUGCUAUGAGACACUGUACUGUAUAUUUGAACAGUAAGAUGUUUUUAACCUUCUUAUUUCCUGAGCCAUGUUCAAAACAGGUUAAAAUAAAUUAAAUCAAUAUUAAAACGGAUCAACUAAAAUAAAACAUUUUAUGAAUAGUGUUGGUCAUGCUGUUGUGUUUUGACAGCAUUGUUGUUCAUUAAGUGGAUCUGGAUCCUAAACAACAGCAGCAGACAACAUCAGCUGA